GCCGCGCCACGCCGGGCUUGGCGCGCCCGCGCUGGACCCGGUCUCGAUCCGGGUCCUGGUCCCGAUCCCGGUCCCGGUGCCGGGUUCCCAGGCGGUACCCCUGCAACGUGGGUGCCUAGGUAGGAAAAGGGCAUCCCUCGUUCUGGGCGUGUUUGUCGUCAGAGGGGGAUAUUCUCCUCCAUUUGGCUCGGGAGAGGCCCUGAUGGUGCUCCUGCAUGCGAUUGCUGGCACUGCACGUGAGGAAAGGUACAGGCUGGGCGGAAUCCAGAGGGAAAGAAGAGGAAUGAAACACGGUCAGAAAAACGUGCGCUACCACAAGGAACCAUUAGACCCAAACCUAUGGAAAAAAGAAAAGUCUUUUGGAGCAGCAAGACAAAGCCGAAAAAUGUUGCUUCCUUCAUAUUCUCUCCACAUUGAGGAGGCACAGGCUUCAACCACAAACACAUCUUCAGUCUUCUUCUGGGUUGCCUUUUAUUGUCUUCCUCUGUCGUGCUGUCUUGCAUCUUCAGCAUGAUAACACACUGCUUCCUGCUUCUCUGGGUUUUUCUUAGCACUCAUGCUUUCCGAGCUGUGAUCCUAGGAGCAUGGAGUUCAAUGAAGAUGUGGCUGUCUCAGCUGCCUACAACACAGGCAGGACAGUGGAGUCUGGUGGCCAAAGAGAAAAUUGCAUCCACCAUGACCACCCCUUCCACCGGUGAGAUCUUCAGCAAGCGGCUCUGGCCUUACAGCUUCUGUUCCAUGUGCACAACAGCCCCACACAUGUUUCUUCGUGGCUGAACCCCAGCUGGACAUAGUGCUUGCAAGCUCCGGACAGCAGUCCCUGUAUUGUAUUGACUCUAGAAGCGAUGUUAACAGUAUCAAUGUUUUCUCUUGUUGCUCUGGCUCUGGGCUGUGCUUGGUUUGUUGGGGUGCAGAUGCAGAGCCAAGUUUCCUCAGAUGUAGAGCUAAGGGUUGGUAUGAGUAAGGUAAAGGUUGAGAAACUGGGACAGUGCCAGUUGUCCACUCUCCAGGACCCCUCUAUACAAAAUGCAUGCAGGGGUGAUACCAUCUGUCCCCCAAAUCAGCGAAAGAACCAGCUGCAGAUGCAGCUGGAGCAGACAGCUACAGGAACAGCUGCUGAUCAGUCUCUUGAUCUCAGUUUUAAUAUACACCAAGGUCCCUUUUGUCUGUUUUUCUUAUUAUUUACUUAGGUUGGCCUUUCUCAGAACCUCCUCCCACCAAACCAUGACAUUUCCUGCAAUGACUUCAUAGCACUUGGUUUUGCUUUGGUAUCACCAGUCUUUAUCUCUUUAAAAUAAAAAACAUUCUCUUUGCAACUCCAUGGGCAUCAUCACAAUGACAGGGAUUGCAAACACUAGAAUAGUUGGUUGUUGAGGUUGUGAGAGGUGGUAGUGAGAUGGGAGGGACUCUGAGUAAUAUUACAAAGAUGAGCAAAUCUUUCUCCCUUUUUCUGGAGAACU
Cygnus olor (mute swan) is the source of this 1460-nucleotide long non-coding RNA. RefSeq lists it as uncharacterized. Lineage: Eukaryota; Metazoa; Chordata; Aves; Anseriformes; Anatidae. The record is from RefSeq and is a predicted model, not a curated record. The transcript is spliced from 4 exons.